UUUUUUUUUUUUUUUUUUUUUGAGUCAGGGUCUCACUCUGUCACCCAGGUUGGAGUGCAGUGGUGUAACCCCAGCUCACUGCAGCCUCCACUUUCUGGGCUCAAGUGAUUCUCCCACCUCAGCCUCCCAAGUAGCUGGGACUAUAGGUGCACGCCACCACGUCUGGCUAAUUUUUGCAAUUUUGUAGAGAUGGAGUUUUGCCAUGUUGCCCAAGCUGAAGAGCUCAUACCUUCUGAGCACUUACUGUAUGCCAGGCACAGUCUAGGCACUAAACAAAUAUCGUCUGAUUCUGUCCUGAUAAUAAUCUUGUGAGGUAGCAACUAUUCUUACCUUCUUUUAUGAAGGAGAAAACAGAUUCAGAGAGUUUUAGCAACUUACCUGGGGUCACCAGCUAGAAAGUAGCAACACUACUCAAACCUAGUGGGUCUGGCUUGGAGCUUUUAACUCUAUAGCCUUCCUGCCUUUCGAACAGCAGCCCCCAAGCACAGACCACCAGCCCAACUCCAUGCCUGCUUCUCCUCUUGCCUGUUGCUGCAACUGUCCCCAAGCAUCUUUCUCGGGGCGUUCUGCCUCACCCUUGUCUUUGUUCCUCCCACUGCUGAGCCUGCCCAGGCCUGGGGCUCAGCCACACUGCUGGGCUCCAAGGAGAGACCCCAUUUUUUUCUUUUUUUUUUGAGACAAAGUUUCACUCUUGUUGCCCAGGCUGGAGUGCAAUGGCGCAAUCUCGGCUCACCGCAACCUCCGUCUCCUGGGUUCAAGCAAUUUUCCUGCCUCAGCCUCUCGAGUAGCUGGGAUUACAGGCAUGCGCCACCACUCAGCCAAUUUUUGUAUUUUUAGUAGAGACGGGAUUUCUCCAUGUUGGUCAGGCUGGUCUCGAACUCCCGACCUCAGGUGAUCCGCCCGUGCCUCAGCCUCCCAAAGUGCUGGGAUUACAGGAGUGAGCCACUGCUCCUGGCCAGGAGAGACUACAUAUUAAGUGGCACAACUGGAAGAAAGAACCCCAGUCCAGGCAAGAAAGCAACACAGGUGUGGAAUUUGGAAGGAGUGAGCAGUGGAGCCACAGGAAGUGGAUGCUGGGCAAAGAACAGCAGGAGAUAAGAUGGGAAAGCAGGUUGGAACCUGGUUGUGGGGAGCCCUGAAGGCCACACUAAGGUUUCUGAUUGGGACCCUGCAGGUGACGGGGGACACGGGAAGGGGAUGGGAGCAGGGAAGGGACGUGGUCAGGCUAGUAGGGAAGAAACCCUCCUCCAGCACCGCAGGCUGGGCGGGGUGGUAGAGAGCACCUGGAGGCGGUCCCCAGAGUGAAAGCUGUCACAGACUUAGCAGAUGAGGGGCUUGUGGGCCGAUGUUUCCCGGAUGUAGCUGGGCUGAGGCCCUGCUAUGGCCCCUGCAGCCCUGCAUGUGUGCAGAACCCCAUGGGCUGUCUCAUCACCAGGAUAGUCCCCAGCCUGGUGGCCAUGUCUGUCCUCAUGAGUUAAAUGGAUGUCCUCAUUUGUUAGCAGGUGUAGAGGUGACCUGAGAGCAGGGGCCCCAUCCGGCCUCCACCCCGUCCUGAGCUGAGUCUCCCCAAAAUAGGACAGGUCACAGUAAUAGCUAAAAUCACAUUUACAGAGUAGCGAUCAUGUGCCUGCUGCUGUUUUAAGCAUUCACUGUGGAUUAAUUUCUUUACUCUGAUGAGCAACCCUGUGAAGCAGGUGCAAUUAUUAUCCCCAUCUUAUAGAUAAGAAAACUGAGGUUACGAGAAUUGCUAAGGUCACAUUUGCUAAGUGCUGGGGCUGGACUUGGCGCACACACCCAGGUCCAGAAAAAACUCUGUGCACCUGGGAGGAGCUGAGAGCUGGAGUUGGACAGAUUUGGGAUGGAACAAAAGUCAGUGUAGCUGUGACUCUGAGUGCCAGCCACAAAGGAGGGGUAGCAUCUCAACGGGGGCCAGACAACCCUGAGGACAUGGCUCCAACCACAGCACCUGCCACUACAGAAGCUCCUCUGCCCAAUCUCCCCAACUUAGACAUAAUCCCCAGGUAGGAGGUCCCCAAAUAACUAAGAGUAUGUUUCUGCUACACUCAAUGAAAUGGGGGCUCAAAGUAGAAAUCCAGUCAGUGAUAAAAAAUAAAGUUACAUUUCUUAUGCAUCAAUUUUAUGACUUCAUACCUGAUACACUAUCAUUGAACCCAUUGUACAGAUGCGAAAAUUGAGACUUAGAAUAAGCAGUGAAGAUAAGUGUGGAUGGCCUCCAGGGCCCCAGCGAUGAGCUCACACUUCACUAUUCAGUUUGAGUAAACCUAAUACACAGUGGAACAAACUGGGGUUUGAUACUUUGACAGUUCCUAGGUUCUAAUCCUGUCUCUGUCCCUUGGUCACUGUUGAACAAAUUGCCUCUCUGAACCUCAGUUUCCAUGUCUGUGAGAUGGACAGGUAAUGCCCUCCUUCAUUGAUUUGCUCCACAUACAUUUAUUGAGCAUCUACUAUGUGCCAGGCACUGUAC
This is a long non-coding RNA of Macaca fascicularis (crab-eating macaque), 2485 nucleotides long. The record is from Ensembl. NCBI's taxonomy places the organism in Eukaryota, Metazoa, Chordata, Mammalia, Primates, Cercopithecidae.